UACGGGAGGCAGCAGUGGGGAAUAUUGCACAAUGGGCGAAAGCCUGAUGCAGCUAUGCCGCGUGUAUGAAGAAGGCCUUAGGGUUGUAAAGUACUUUCAUCGGGGAGGAAAAAACAAAACUAAUAAUUUUAUUUCUUGACGUUACCCGAAAAAGAAGCACCGGCUAACUCCGUGCCAGCAGCCGCGGUAAUACGGAGGGUGCUAGCGUUAAUCAGAAUUACUGGGCGUAAAGAGCACGUAGGUGGUUUUUUUAAAGUCAGAUGUGAAAUCCCUGGGCUUUAACCUAGGAACUGCAUUUUGAAACUGAAAUACUAGAGUAUCGUAGAGGGAGGUAGAAUUCUAGGUGUAGCGGUGAAAUGCGUAGAUAUCUGGAGGAAUACCUGUGGCGAAAGCGGCCUCCUAAACGAAUACUGACACUGAGGUGCGAAAGCGUGGGGAGCAAACAGGGAUUAGAACC
RNAcentral lists this ribosomal RNA (457 nucleotides) under uncultured bacterium. Its description in RNAcentral is "bacterial SSU rRNA". It matches the Rfam family "Bacterial small subunit ribosomal RNA", at positions 340 to 785 of the family's 1533-position model. The record is from RNAcentral.